RNAcentral lists this ribosomal RNA (351 nucleotides) under Foraminifera environmental sample. RNAcentral's name for it is "SSU rRNA". It matches the Rfam family "Eukaryotic small subunit ribosomal RNA", at positions 1129 to 1445 of the family's 1831-position model. Lineage: Eukaryota; Foraminifera. The record is from RNAcentral.
ACGCACGUGUGAAACUUGAAGGAAUUGACGGAAGGGCACCACAAGAACGCGUGGAGCAUGUGGCUUAAUUUGACUCAACGCGGGAAAUCUUACCGGGUCCGGACACACUGAGGAUUGACAGGCAAUAUUAAAUAAAGAAAAUUUUUGGACUAUCUGAUAUUUAUGUUAAAUAUGCUAGUCCUUUCAUGAUUAUGUGAUAGGUGGUGCAUGGCCGUUCUUAGUUCGUGGAGUGAUCUGUCUGCUUAAUUGCGUUUCACUGUGGACAUUGUAAAGUAGUGUGUGCGCACUAAUAUUUCGGUAUUAGUUGCUGCCUACUACUCCAAAUUGUCCUGAAGGCAACGAACGUGACCG